Molecule: long non-coding RNA, 483 nt
Organism: Pieris napi
Lineage: Eukaryota; Metazoa; Arthropoda; Insecta; Lepidoptera; Pieridae
Exons: 3
Source: RefSeq, a predicted model, not a curated record
AUCAAAUGCAAUCUUUCUCCAGUUAUCCAUCAGCGUUGCGAUCAGUUUUCAUGCAAUUGCUUCUGUGAGACAAUCUCAUUACAAAAUGUCGAGAAUUGCAUUGCUCCUGAUUUUAGUUCAGUCUCUAAUAUUUGUGGCUUCCGGACCUUAUAAUGGCCUCCACAUACCGUCUGAAUGUACAGAUAAUCCCUUCUUUGCUGAUUGUACACUUGUUGUGACUUGUGCGGAGUAAAUUCUGCAACCACAAGUUUUACUCGCAGUUUUGUUGCAAAUCCUGCAUCGAGUCUGGACAGGUGGACCCUAUGAGAACUUUAAACCACCUUGAAGAUGAUUAUUGGAACUAGAUUAGCACAUUUCUCGACUGUACAUCCCAUGUUUUUGCAAGUCAUAAAUAUGGUGCCAAUCGUCUAUACUCCUACUAAAUUCACUUAGCUACAAAUACUUAUUGCUUAUGCGUUAUAAUAAAAUGUAUUAUCGGUUUAA